Molecule: ribosomal RNA, 799 nt
Filed under: uncultured Bacillota bacterium
Lineage: Bacteria; Bacillati; Bacillota
Description: bacterial SSU rRNA
Rfam family: Bacterial small subunit ribosomal RNA
Source: RNAcentral
CACUUUGAGUAGCAAUACUUGGGGUGUUCUAGUGGCGAUCGGGUGAGUAACACGUAGGUGACCUACCCCGAAGAGGGGGAUAACGGCCCGAAAGGGCUGCUAAUACCCCAUGUGAUUAGCGAUUCAUUUUGCUAAUUAAAGCUUCCGCAAGGAGUGUGCUUUGGGAGGGGCCUGCGGCGGAUUAGAUUGUUGGUGGGGUAAUGGCCUACCAAGUCGAUGAUCCGUAGCUAGUCUGAGAGGACGAUUAGCCACACUGGCACUGACACACGGGCCAGACUCCUACGGGAGGCAGCAGCAGGGAAUAUUGCACAAUGGGCGAAAGCCUGAUGCAGCAACGCCGCGUGAGGGAUGAAGGUCUUCGGAUUGUAAACCUCUUUUUUGGGGGAAGAGAUGGGACGGUACCCCGAGAAUAAGCAACGGCUAACUACGUGCCAGCAGCCGCGGUAAUACGUAGGUUGCGAGCGUUAUUCGGAUUUACUGGGCGUAAAGCGCACCGAGGUGGCUUCUUAAGUUGGAUGUAAAAUCUCCCGGCUCAACUGGGAGGCGCCAUUCAAAACUGGGGAGCUUGAGACCAGCAGGGGAAAGUGGAAUUCCCGGUGUAGUGGUGGAAUGCGUAGAGAUCGGGAGGAACACCAGUGGCGAAAGCGACUUUCUGGGCUGCGUCUGACACUCUAGUGCGAAAGCGUGGGGAGCAAACAGGAUUAGAUACCCUGGUAGUCCACGCCCUAAACGAUGGAUACUAGGUGUGGGAGGUAUUGACCCCUUCCGUGCCGAAGCCAACGCGUUAAGUAUCCCGCCU